RNAcentral lists this ribosomal RNA (253 nucleotides) under uncultured bacterium. RNAcentral describes it as "partial 16S ribosomal RNA". It matches the Rfam family "Bacterial small subunit ribosomal RNA", at positions 524 to 776 of the family's 1533-position model. The record is from RNAcentral.
UACAGAGGUCUCAAGCGUUGUUCGGAUUCAUUGGGCGUAAAGGGCGCGUAGGCUGCGGGGCAAGUCGGGUGUGAAAUCUCAGAGCUCAACUCUGAAACUGCACUCGAUACUGCUUUGCUCGAGGACUGGAGAGGAAAUUGGAAUUCACGGUGUAGCAGUGAAAUGCGUAGAUAUCGUGAGGAAGACCAGUGGCGAAGGCGGAUCUCUGGACAGUUCCUGACGCUGAGGCGCGAAGGCCAGGGGAGCAAACGGG